Xiphophorus hellerii (green swordtail) is the source of this 5725-nucleotide RNA transcript. It is a transcript of the gene named tensin-3-like, with no coding region annotated. The transcript has 21 exons. The record is from RefSeq and is a predicted model, not a curated record. NCBI's taxonomy places the organism in Eukaryota, Metazoa, Chordata, Actinopteri, Cyprinodontiformes, Poeciliidae.
UUCACUCAUCUUGCUGUGCUGUGCUGUGAGUAUAACACAUUGUUUGUUUGCAGCAAAGGUAAGCCUUUUUUUUUGAUGUUUUCUGACAGGUUACAGAAAAGUUUGAACUAGUAUUGACCUGGUCAUUGUUCCAUGAAGUUUGCCUUUCCCCUGCAUGUAAAUGGCCUCUGAGCAUGUGAUGACUGGAAAAUCUCACUGAAGAAUGGAUCUACUGUAAAUGCAACGAAUUAUUUACUGAAACAUUAAGGCAGAGAGUAUAUACAGAUGUGUUUGCUGUGGGAUUCAGAUGCUGUUUAAUCUCUGGCUCUGUGUUAAAGGACUUGGAAGGAGUGAAAUCCCUGCCAGUAGGAGUACUAUAAUUCAGCUGAUUAACAUAACAUAACCUUGAUGCUAAUAUAAUUUCUAAAAUGAUUUCUAUUUUGAGCUCUUCUGAAAGCUCGAGGUUAAUUUAGAAACCUUUAAAAAGCAUCUGAAUAAAACAGAAUGAGAAUUUGCAGUCAUGAGAUUUCAUUUCUGUUUUUUAAUUGUUUAUAAUGUACUUUCAGUUUCAAAUGAUCUCUUUGUUUAGGUAACAAUGAAACUCUGCAUCCAACAAAGCAAUGGUGUUCUUCUGUAAGAUCAUAAGUCCAACAUAAAACAAACAAAGGUGGGUGAUCCACUUGGGAAUUCCAUUCUAUAAAAUGGGAAAUAGAAACUGUAAUUAUAUGUGGCCCACUUAGUACUCAAGGACUUUUCAGGGUAGCAUGAGCGUGGUUGAGACAUACACUUCUUGUUUUGGUUUUUCAGGCGGAGCACUGACAAAUUUAGAUGUGCAGCAGUAAAAAAUGUUGAAAAAACAGCCCAGAAAUACAUCUUUGCAGAGAAGUCACUCUUUAAGACUGUUUGCCCAGCCCUGUUAGUCGCUUCUGCAUGGAUUCUCUAGAAAGAAGGGAUGCAGCAGAGAGUGGGAAGUAAGGAAACAGGCCAGGACUGAAGAGUCACGUUUUUCACACAAAGAAUUAAAAUUUAAAGCCACAGAUUUGAGAGGAAAAGCUCUACAAGGGUGGAAAUUCCCUAAAUAGUCCGAAACGGAGGCUGUUUUGAUUAUGUUCUUGUAGUCAUUCAUCAAAUCAUUUUUCACUUUUUUUGUGUUCCCUUCAAAUUACUUAGUAGGCUAUCUCAUACUUAUUGGUGUCUGUAUUGCUGUUAUUUUAUCAUAAGUAUGUUUCUGAAUGUGAAUUCACUUUAUUUGUUCUUAAAGUGUGCUAUCUAAUACCCACUAAAUUAGGAGGAAUAUAUCAAAAAUCUUUUUCAAAAUGUGAAUUUUGUUUGAGACAUUUUACAGACAUGACAUGAAAAUUUUCCCAUUGUGCAGUUUUAAUUCUUACAAUAAAUCAGAGCUGGAGGUUAUUAUUGUGUGCAGCUGGUGAAAAGGGUUGCAUCACUAUUUACUCUGCUGUGGUCACAAGGCUUGAGUGAACACGAGUUUAAGCACGGCUCUUUGUGUUUUCCUUGCAGCCCAGCUGUGUGUCAGUCUCACUCCCAAACCAGAUCUAUUUUUUUAUCCAAAUACUGACAUGUAGCCCAGUGGAUGGGUUACUUGGGAAUUAGGGAGGAAAUUACACUCCUUAGAAUGCAUUCUUAUUUGGAUAAAAACAAUUUGAAAAUAACACUUGAUAUAUUAAGAAAGAAAAAACUGAUGCCGGAUUGAAGACCCUUCUGCUAAACAUUGUCAGAGUGCAUCUGUUGAUCAUUUCAGAAUGGGUUAAUAGUCAUUUCAACUUUAUAAAAUUUAAAUAUUCAAGCACAGAAACACUACAGUUGUACAGAUGAGAAUACAUCAAUUUUGUAAUUCUAGAUUUCUGAUCAGUUGAACAAUGUCCUGCUGUCAGCUGUUACAUUUCUGUUUGCCAUUAUUCUCAGUUUCAGUGUGAGAGCAAUUUAAAUUAUUUGUAAAUAGCAGCAUUGCUUAGUGAUUUUACAAGUUUUCUUCUGUUGCUCUAUGCAUAUCAAAUACAAAAUAAAUUAAAUUAGCUAUAGUAAGAUGGAAAAGUAAAAGCUGUAAAACAGUUUACCUAAAAAAGUGAAAAAAGACAGCUGAUGAAGCUGAGUAAAAUUAGUCACAAAAUCAGUAGUUUCUACAGAAGUUGUGUUGCUGUUAUUGAAAAUAAAGUAGGUUUCUUAAGACAAAAUUUAUUUUCUUUGUCUCUGUUAAUUGUUUUAAAUUUGCAAUCUACUGAGUACUAAGUUCAUGAACUCUCGUUUUUUGCUCAUGUGCUUUUUUUUUCCCAAGUCUCAAUGUCAGGGAGAGUUUAAGGUGACUAAGCAUUUGCUCGGCCAUGACCCUACUUUGUGAAGCAACAUGUUCAAAAAAGGAGUGCAUAAAACUGAUGAAAUCAGAAAUUUGUUAAGUGAAAUCCUAAUGUGGCUCACGUGGUCAAUGAACUUGUGGCAAAACCUUGAUAAAUGCUGCAUUCACAGCUUAAAAAUCUCACUUCCACAAAGUUUCAAUAACUUUCUUUUUGUAUAUGUCCUGCAUCACUUCCUGAAUGUUUUCAGAGGCCAAUGUAACUAAAAGCUGUCAUGGAAGAACUACGACAAAUUGAUCUGACAUACAUCACAGAGUGCAUCAUCAGCAUCAUCUGCCCUUCUACAUGUCCAGAGGAUCUCUACCUGCAGAAUCUGAAGAAGAUUAUCCCUAUGCUAGAGUCUAAGCAUGGGCACAACUAUAUGCUCAUUAACCUUUCCCAGAAGCAUGACAUUCUUACAAAAAUGACCCACAAGAUUUUCAACACAGAUUGGCUGGAUCUCUUAGCUCCCAGCCUGGAUCAAAUCUUUAAUGUGUGCACAGCAAUGGAGAACUGGCUCCAAGGUUAUCCAAAACGCGUCCUGGUGUUACACUGCAGGGGAGAUAUGGGAAGGCUUGGAGUUCUCUUGGCAUCAUACAUCCACUUCAGCAAUAUGUCUGCCAGUGCAGACCUCUCUCUGGACCACUUUGCCAUGAGGAAAUUCUACAACGACAAGCUAUCGGCUCUGAUGAUCCCCUCACAGAAACGGUAUGUUUGGAUGGUGGGCAGCAUGUUAAAAGGAGGAUUGAGGAUGAACCCAUCUCCGUCUUUUCUGCUCUGUGUAGUUCUUUAUGGUCUUCCCAAAACAAGACCAGAUGAAGGAUGCUGCCUUUUCCUUAGGGUCUACCAAAGUCUGCAAGCAGUUUGCACAUCACCAGUCUAUCACGUUAAUGCUGCUCAGACGGAUCGGCUGUACAUCGUGCUUCAGCCAGCUCAGCUCCUCAAAGGGGACAUCAUGGUGGUGUGUUAUGAAAAAAACCUUCAAUCAGCGAGUCGCCAAGUUGUUUUCCGCCUCCAGUUUCACAUGGGCCUGGUGUUCGGACACUCCCUCUCUUUCUGCAAGGCGGACCUUGACUGUGCUGCUGCCGAAGAUUCCCGUUUCCCAGAUGAUGGAAAAGUGGAGCUGCUGUUCUCAGAGAGCCCUGAAAAGAUCGCAGGUAGAGAGCAGUGGUUGAAUGGGCGCUGUGUGGCGGUGGACUAUGACACGAUGGACCCAUUAGUCAGACGAGAUUCUUUCCAGGACUGGGCUCGUUAUGAAAGAAGCCCUCCUCAUGUGUCUGAAUCUGGAAACAGAGAUUUGUACUCCAAAUUGAGGAAGAAGAGCACUGAGGAAGGAGCUCUGUACCCUCUGCCAUCUAUCAGCCCGAGCUGCAGCGACAGAGCGCCGUCAGCCAGCAGUGACUCGGGCCUCUCCGUUGCCUCACAGGGGCAGACCGGAGUCGGACCCAGAAGAGGAGCCACGCAGGACGUUUGUAGCCAGGCUGAGAAGCUGAUUUUUGGCGCUGAGUCAGAACCAAUCCAGGCUCUUCUGGAGGUCAUGACUGAACUGAGUUCUUCUGGUGCUGGAGAUGGAAAGGUGACUGGAAAUGAGUCCGGACUGGGAACCACCAUCAAUGGCGACGUUUCAUCAAGUGAAAGGGAGACGGAUAUUCUUGAUGAUGAGGACGAAGGUUCUCCUUCACAGGCUCCAGACCCGAGCAGUGUUUUCUCACUUCCUUCUGAAAAUGUACCUGCAACUCAGAGACAAGCCCAAACAGAGUACUCCACUCACUCCUGGGUUCGACAGCAGCAGAUGGUGGAUCCCAUCCCUGAACAGGGAACCAGCAAGUCAAAUAAAGAGAGACCAGCACCUCUGGAGCUUCCUGAAACACCAACACGAGGAUUAAGCAGCAGGGAAGCAGUGAAGAGAGGCCUCUUAGACCAGGACAACAGACUGCCUGAAAAUACUACUUCAUCCUGUCAGGAAGAUGAGCUGGCCUCCUUAUCUACAGACAUCGACGAGUCCAUUGAGCAGCUGAACAAGCUGAUUCUGGACUUAGACCCCACUUUUGUUCCGGUUCCCACUCGAUGUUCUCCUCUGUCCCGCUCGGCCUCUCUGCACACCAACGGCCUAAGUCACAAAGGACAAACCCAUCAGUCAGGGUGGAAACAGCAGAAACAUGUCAGCGAUGUGGUUGACUAUGGUGGCCCUCAGAGUCCAGGAUGGAAAAGAGGUGGAGCUCAGAGCUUUAAAGGUUCCCCAGCCAACAACCCCUCCUUCUCAGCCUCCCAGCAUGGUCAUCUCUACAAAACUAACAGUGUGGAUUACCGCGGACAAAUGGACAACUCUGACUUCAUCCCAACGACUCCAGCAUUCCCAGUGUCUCCUCCAACGCCCUAUGUGAAACAUUUCUCUGAGUUUUCCCAAUUCAGUGCUGGCAGACAGUGGGACCAACACAGCUGGACACAAGAACCCAGAGGUUUCCUAGAUGGCAUGAACCACUCUGGUGGUUCCACAGACGGAGAUCUGUUCCGGUCGGACGUGCCUGUCACACAGAGGAUCUUUGGCUCCAUGAGCUCAGUGUCAACUAGCAGCCCCCUCCAAUACACAGACAGCUCCACUCCGCCUCCUGUGUGGCACAAUCGGACACCAAAUUCCUUGAACUCGCCGUAUCCUCCCCAAUCUACACCCCCGCUACUUCUCAGCUCUCCUAAUGCUCACAGUUCCCCGCGGGGCGCUCAGAGGGGCCGGGGAGGGAGCUCAGGGGACCGCAGUGGAACCAACAGCACAGACUUGUCCUCGUUGUUGUUAUUGGGAAACGGCGGCCUGGAGCACAGCCUGCUGGAAGCCGUGGAGGGACUCGGGAAUCUGAAUCUUGGGGGAGAUGCAGGGAUUGCUCCCCUACUGCCGGAGAAGAGAAGAACAGGUGAGGUGGGAGAGCUGGGCUCACGAUCCCCCUCUCUGAGCGGGUUUUCCAGCCCGCGCAGCGGCAGCAGCCUCAGUAUCCCUCUGUCGUCGUCCCUGACCUCAGAUCCGUUCAGAGGACUUAGUGGGGCCUCGUCACCCGGAGCAGACUCUGGCAGUAAGCAGGACACUGUGAAGUUUGUUCAGGACACGUCCAAGUUCUGGUACAAGCCCGACAUUUCCAGAGACCAAGACCUUCUGAUUAGCCAUCACAGUGCUGAAGGACAAAGAGCCCGGUUCGUUCAUCGUCAGAGACAGCCAUUCAUUUCGCGGGGCGUAUGGACUGGCCAUGAAGGUGGCCACGCCUCCUCCCUCAGUGGUACACCACAGUAAAAAAGUGGGAGAUCUGUCCAGCGAGCUAGUGAGGCACUUCCUGAUUGAGUGUACACCUAAAGGAGUUCGUCUUAAAGGCUGCCCCAAUGAGCCAUACUUUGGAAGCCUCACAGCUCUGGUG